RNAcentral lists this ribosomal RNA (668 nucleotides) under uncultured Escherichia sp. Its description in RNAcentral is "bacterial SSU rRNA". It matches the Rfam family "Bacterial small subunit ribosomal RNA", at positions 66 to 723 of the family's 1533-position model. The record is from RNAcentral. Lineage: Bacteria; Pseudomonadati; Pseudomonadota; Gammaproteobacteria; Enterobacterales; Enterobacteriaceae.
ACGGUAACAGAAAGCAGCUUGCUGCUUUGCUGACGAGUGGCGGACGGGUGAGUAAUGUCUGGGAAACUGCCUGAUGGAGGGGGAUAACUACUGGAAACGGUAGCUAAUACCGCAUAACGUCGCAAGACCAAAGAGGGGGACCUUAGGGCCUCUUGCCAUCGGAUGUGCCCAGAUGGGAUUAGCUAGUAGGUGGGGUAACGGCUCACCUAGGCGACGAUCCCUAGCUGGUCUGAGAGGAUGACCAGCCACACUGGAACUGAGACACGGUCCAGACUCCUACGGGAGGCAGCAGUGGGGAAUAUUGCACAAUGGGCGCAAGCCUGAUGCAGCCAUGCCGCGUGUAUGAAGAAGGCCUUCGGGUUGUAAAGUACUUUCAGCGGGGAGGAAGGGAGUAAAGUUAAUACCUUUGCUCAUUGACGUUACCCGCAGAAGAAGCACCGGCUAACUCCGUGCCAGCAGCCGCGGUAAUACGGAGGGUGCAAGCGUUAAUCGGAAUUACUGGGCGUAAAGCGCACGCAGGCGGUUUGUUAAGUCAGAUGUGAAAUCCCCGGGCUCAACCUGGGAACUGCAUCUGAUACUGGCAGGCUUGAGUCUCGUAGAGGGGGGUAGAAUUCCAGGUGUAGCGGUGAAAUGCGUAGAGAUCUGGAGGAAUACCGGUGGCGAAGGCG